This 380-nucleotide ribosomal RNA is filed under the name uncultured bacterium. RNAcentral describes it as "bacterial SSU rRNA". It matches the Rfam family "Bacterial small subunit ribosomal RNA", at positions 524 to 906 of the family's 1533-position model. The record is from RNAcentral.
UACGGAGGGUGCAAGCGUUAUCCGGAUUUACUGGGUUUAAAGGGUGUGUAGGCGGGCUAUUAAGUCAGUGGUGAAAUCUCCGGGCUCAACCCGGAAACUGCCAUUGAUACUAUUAGUCUUGAAUUUUGUUGAGGUAGGCGGAAUAAGUCAUGUAGCGGUGAAAUGCAUAGAUAUGACUUAGAACACCAAUUGCGAAGGCAGCUUACUAAGCAAAUAUUGAUGCUGAGGCACGAAAGCGUGGGGAUCAAACAGGAUUAGAUACCCUGGUAGUCCACGCCCUAAACGAUGAUUACUCGACAUACGCGAUACACAGUGUGUGUCUGAGCGAAAGCAUUAAGUAAUCCACCUGGGAAGUACGACCGCAAGGUUGAAACUCAAAG